CACGUAGGGGGCGAGCGUUGUCCGGAUUCAUUGGGCGUAAAGCGCGCGCAGGCGGCUUGGAAAGUCGGGUGUGAAAACUCGGGGCUCAACCCCGGGCGUGCAUCCGAUACUGCCAGGCUUGAGGCAGGUAGGGGAGAUCGGAAUUCCUGGUGUAGCGGUGAAAUGCGCAGAUAUCAGGAGGAACACCUAUUGCGAAGGCAGCUCGCUGGGACGUAACUGACGCUGAGACGCGAAAGCGUGGGGAGCAAACAGG
RNAcentral lists this ribosomal RNA (253 nucleotides) under uncultured bacterium. Its description in RNAcentral is "partial 16S ribosomal RNA". It matches the Rfam family "Bacterial small subunit ribosomal RNA", at positions 524 to 776 of the family's 1533-position model. The record is from RNAcentral.